RNAcentral lists this ribosomal RNA (579 nucleotides) under Triticum aestivum (bread wheat). RNAcentral describes it as "partial small subunit ribosomal RNA". The record is from RNAcentral. Lineage: Eukaryota; Viridiplantae; Streptophyta; Magnoliopsida; Poales; Poaceae.
AUGGCUGCUAACGCAUCGACAUCGGGGGCGGCUACUUCCGAUCUCGAGGCGCUGAUGGAGGAGUUGGGACUCAGGGAAGACGAUCUGCAGGAUGUGGUGGUGGAAGAGGGUGAAUUGCCACAGGAAGUGACCCGCUGGAUGGCGAUCGCCAGGGUUCACACCAACAAAACCUAUAGUCAGUACUGGUUCUACAGAGGUAUGAGGGUAGCAUGGGAUCUUGCGCAGGAAGUCAAGAUCAGACCUCUCGAGGAGAAUCUUUACACCCUCCAAUUCUCUUGCCUUGGCGAUUGGGAGAGGGUAAUGGAGGAGGGGCCUUGGAAAUUCAAGGGGAAGGCGGUGGUUCUUGCGUCGUAUGAUGGUUUCACGAAGCCAUCAACUAUUGAACUAAACAAGAUGGAUAUCUGGCUGCAGAUUCACGACCUCCCAGAUGGUUACUUCUCCAAGAUAAAGGCUCUGUCAUCUACGGUGGGGGAGUUUAUAUUUGCUGAGCCAAAGUCUCGUGAUUUUGAGGGCAAUUUUGCUAGAGUCAGGGUGCGAAUUGAUGUGACGAAACCAUUGAAAACGCUGUCUCACUGCUAG